Molecule: ribosomal RNA, 253 nt
Filed under: uncultured bacterium
Lineage: Bacteria
Description: partial 16S ribosomal RNA
Rfam family: Bacterial small subunit ribosomal RNA
Source: RNAcentral
UACGGAGGGUGCAAGCGUUAAUCGGAAUUACUGGGCGUAAAGCGUGCGCAGGCGGUUGUGCAAGACAGGUGUGAAAUCCCCGGGCUUAACCUGGGAACUGCACUUGUGACUGCACGGCUAGAGUACGGUAGAGGGGGAUGGAAUUCCGCGUGUAGCAGUGAAAUGCGUAGAUAUGCGGAGGAACACCGAUGGCGAAGGCAAUCCCCUGGACCUGUACUGACGCUCAUGCACGAAAGCGUGGGGAGCAAACAGG